RNAcentral lists this ribosomal RNA (493 nucleotides) under uncultured bacterium. Its description in RNAcentral is "partial 16S ribosomal RNA". It matches the Rfam family "Bacterial small subunit ribosomal RNA", at positions 29 to 508 of the family's 1533-position model. The record is from RNAcentral.
AGUGAACGCUGGCGGUAGGCCUAACACAUGCAAGUCGAACGGCAGCACAGUAAGAGCUUGCUCUUACGGGUGGCGAGUGGCGGACGGGUGAGGAAUACAUCGGAAUCUACUUUUUCGUGGGGGAUAACGUAGGGAAACUUACGCUAAUACCGCAUACGACCUACGGGUGAAAGCAGGGGAUCUUCGGACCUUGCGCGAUUGAAUGAGCCGAUGUCGGAUUAGCUAGUUGGCGGGGUAAAGGCCCACCAAGGCGACGAUCCGUAGCUGGUCUGAGAGGAUGAUCAGCCACACUGGGAAUGAGACACGGUCCAGACUCCUACGGGAGGCAGCAGUGGGGAAUAUUGGGCAAUGGGCGCAAGCCUGAUCCAGCCAUACCGCGUGGGUGAAGAAGGCCUUCGGGUUGUAAAGCCCUUUUGUUGGGAAAGAAAAGCAGCAGGUUAAUACCCCGCUGUUCUGACGGUACCCAAAGAAUAAGCACCGGCUAACUUCGUGC